Camellia sinensis is the source of this 1258-nucleotide non-coding RNA. NCBI's taxonomy places the organism in Eukaryota, Viridiplantae, Streptophyta, Magnoliopsida, Ericales, Theaceae. The record is from RefSeq and is a predicted model, not a curated record.
UUUUGCAGUAUGUAACUCUAAAUUAAGUUAAUAAAGUUUGAUUAAGUAGCAUGUACUUGUUAUUUUGAAAUGAUAGUUGAAAUGGGAGAAUAAAUGGAGGGAGCAAAGUCAUCAUUGGAGCAACAUUGCUAAUAUAUAGCAUUUUGUCUCUUUUUAUUGCUAAAUUAUAACAAUAUUCAACAUGUAGCUAUUGAACCAUUGGAGACUAGAAAAUUCACAAGACAGCACUAGGAAACCAUAGGAGAUUUUUUUUACUUGACAGGAAUACAAGAACUGAUAGGCUGCUUCUUAGUAGUGAUAUGGCUUUGAUAACAUGUAAAUAUUGGAAACAAAAAGUGGAAUUAAAAUUUGGUUAAAAAAAACUAAUGGCUUUGCACAGAAAACAACACCUGACCUAAUAUUACACUAGUGAUUGUGUAAACCAAGUCAAAUCUAAUUUACUAUAAACUUACAACUAAAUGAUUCUUGAGUAUUCCAAUACAAAUUUAAGUAAUUUCAUAUCUUUGAACAAUGCUUUUCAAAUGAUAAUUUAAUUGUGUCUUGGUUGUGCCACUUGAUAGUAAAUUUGUUUGUGCUAGGUGUUUAACCCAAUUUAACAGGGAUUGGCACAGGGGAAUGGCCCUUUUUCUUUGUUUAUUUAUGUUAGGUGUUCUAAUAUCAUAUUAGAUGAUGUUAUUGUUAAUGUCUACUUUUCUUUUUUAAAUUGCAGCAAAAUUAAAAUGGUAAUAGAGCUGCUUGAGGGCAUUCAUUUUGUUUCUUCUGUGGAGGCCAUUUCUCUUGGUGCCCAAGCUGGUAUUCAUCCAUGGAUAAUUUAUGACAUUAUUUCUAAUACUGCUGGAAAUUCAUGGGUAUUGUUUUGGAUAUGGCCAAAUCAUGUACAUUUCCUCUUCCACUUCUGGCAGUUGCUUUUCAACAUCUAAUAGCAGGCUCCUCUCAUGGUCAUGGAAAUGAUGGUGAUGACACAUUCAUCAAGCUUGUUUGGUGGAUACUUUUGUGGCAUGAUGCUGUGUUGCGUUGAAUCUGGUGCUGAUUGGCUCUGUUCUGUGUGCUCUGCCUCUGAUGCAGCUUUUGAUUGAUGCGAUCUGUUUGUCCUGAUUUCUGAUUUGGUUGAGUUGUUUUGUUGCUGGUUUUGUUUGAUUUGUUUUCUGACUGUUUUAGUAAAUGAGGUAAACUGCUGCGUCAAUUCUGAUUUGGUUAUAUGAUUUUGUUUGGGUUGCCAAGUUGAAAUGGUUUUCUGAACUGGUGAUGAUCUGUGUUG